RNAcentral lists this transfer RNA (75 nucleotides) under Cordylochernes scorpioides. RNAcentral describes it as "tRNA-Gly". It matches the Rfam family "tRNA". From Rfam's summary of the family: Transfer RNA (tRNA) molecules are approximately 80 nucleotides in length. The record is from RNAcentral. Lineage: Eukaryota; Metazoa; Arthropoda; Arachnida; Pseudoscorpiones; Chernetidae.
GCAUCGGUAGUUCAGUGGUAAAAUACUCGCCUGCCACGCGGGCGGCCCGGGUUCGAUUCCCGGCCGCGCGAUGCA